UCCCUAGUGUCUCAGAUGGUAAAGAAUCUGCCUGUAAUGCAGGAGACCCGGGUUUGAUCCCUGGGUUGGGAA
This 72-nucleotide transfer RNA is filed under the name Bos indicus x Bos taurus (hybrid cattle). It matches the Rfam family "tRNA". From Rfam's summary of the family: Transfer RNA (tRNA) molecules are approximately 80 nucleotides in length. Their secondary structure includes four short double-helical elements and three loops (D, anti-codon, and T loops). Lineage: Eukaryota; Metazoa; Chordata; Mammalia; Artiodactyla; Bovidae. The record is from Rfam by way of RNAcentral.